UUAAGUUCAGCGGGUACUCCUACCUGAUCCGAGGUCAACCGAGAAAGAAAUAAUCUGGAUCGGCCGGCGCCCACCAGGCCCUCUUGAGCGGAACAGUCACCCAUUCACUCAGGCGCCCAGAGGUCGCCGCCACUGCCUUUCGGACCCGUCCCCGGGGGGACGGCGGUCCAUCACACAAGCCGCGCUUGAAGGUUGCAAUG
RNAcentral lists this unclassified non-coding RNA (200 nucleotides) under Amauroascus sp. RNAcentral describes it as "partial internal transcribed spacer 2". Lineage: Eukaryota; Fungi; Ascomycota; Eurotiomycetes; Onygenales; Onygenaceae. The record is from RNAcentral.